This 738-nucleotide ribosomal RNA is filed under the name Rhexia mariana. Its description in RNAcentral is "eukaryotic LSU rRNA". The stretch from base 357 to 512 matches the Rfam family "5.8S ribosomal RNA". The record is from RNAcentral. Lineage: Eukaryota; Viridiplantae; Streptophyta; Magnoliopsida; Myrtales; Melastomataceae.
UGCCGACAACGUCGCGAGAAGUCCACUGAACCUUAUCAUUUAGAGGAAGGAGAAGUCGUAACAAGGUUUCCGUAGGUGAACCUGCGGAAGGAUCAUUGUCGAAAUCGAACGUAAGAACGACCAGCGAAUCGUCAACGCGUCCUGGACGGGUCUCGCGAUCGCCGAACGUUCGGCGCUCGCGGUUCCCGUGCCGUGUCGGCGGGGCGCCUCCACGAGGGCCGCGCUGUCCCGGCGAACAAACAACGUCAGCACGGAUUGUGCCAAGGAGCUUAUUGGAGAGAACCGUCGUCCCCCGCCCUCGGUCGUCCCUGACGGCCGGGCGUGGGACACGGGCGGUCUCUGUUCCGAGUCUGAAUGACUCUCGGCAACGGAUAUCUCGGCUCUUGCAUCGAUGAAGAACGUAGCGAAAUGCGAUACUUGGUGUGAAUUGCAGAAUCCCGCGAACCAUCAAUUCUUUGAACGCAAGUUGCGCCCGAAGCCAUUCGGCCGAGGGCACGCCUGCCUGGGUGUCGUGAAUACCCCUGCCCUUGGGCACCCGCACGAGCAUCGGCGGGGAUAUAUGCCGGGCGCAGAAUAUGGUCUCCCGUUGGUUCGGCGUGGGCGUCGUUCCCUAGUACGGCUGGCCGAAAACAAGCAUUGUGGCGACGGGCUCCACGGCGUUCGGUGGAUCGGUAGCGAUUGGCUGCGCCGUGGGCUCGGCAUGCGUCGCUCUUCGGACUACCGCGAGAAUUCCCUAGU